AUUGAACGCUGGCGGCAGGCCUAACACAUGCAAGUCGAGCGGAUGAAGGGAGCUUGCUCCUGGAUUCAGCGGCGGACGGGUGAGUAAUGCCUAGGAAUCUGCCUGGUAGUGGGGGAUAACGUCCGGAAACGGGCGCUAAUACCGCAUACGUCCUGAGGGGGAAAGGGGGGGACCUUCGACCCCACGCUUUCAAGAUGAGCCUAGGUCGGAUUAGCUAGUUGGUGGGGUAAAGGCCUACCAAGGCGACGAUCCGUAACUGGUCUGAGAGGAUGAUCAGUCACACUGGAACUGAGACACGGUCCAGACUCCUACGGGAGGCAGCAGUGGGGAAUAUUGGACAAUGGGCGAAAGCCUGAUCCAGCCAUGCCGCGUGUGUGAAGAAGGUCUUCGGAUUGUAAAGCACUUUAAGUUGGGAGGAAGGGCAGUAAGUUAAUACCUUGCUGUUUUGACGUUACCAACAGAAUAAGCACCGGCUAACUUCGUG
Molecule: ribosomal RNA, 484 nt
Filed under: uncultured bacterium
Lineage: Bacteria
Description: partial 16S ribosomal RNA
Rfam family: Bacterial small subunit ribosomal RNA
Source: RNAcentral